CCUACGGGAGACUGCAGUGAGGAAUAUUGGUCAAUGGCCGAGAGGCUGAACCAGCCAAGUCGCGUGAGGGAAGACGGCCCUACGGGUUGUAAACCUCUUUUGUCGGGGAGCAAAGCGAGUCACGUGUGACUCAUUGAGAGUACCCGACGAAAAAGCAUCGGCUAACUCCGUGCCAGCAGCCGCGGUAAUACGGAGGAUGCGAGCGUUAUCCGGAUUUAUUGGGUUUAAAGGGUGCGCAGGCGGAGGUGCAAGUCAGCGGUCAAAUUGCGGGGCUCAACCCCGUACUGCCGUUGAAACUGCAGCCCUUGAGUGCGCGAGAAGUAUGCGGAAUGCGUGGUGUAGCGGUGAAAUGCAUAGAUAUCACGCAGAACUCCGAUUGCGAAGGCAGCAUACCGGCGCGCAACUGACGCUCAUGCACGAAAGCGUGGGUAUCGAACAGGAUUAGAUACCCCUGUAGUC
RNAcentral lists this ribosomal RNA (459 nucleotides) under uncultured bacterium. Its description in RNAcentral is "partial 16S ribosomal RNA". It matches the Rfam family "Bacterial small subunit ribosomal RNA", at positions 338 to 795 of the family's 1533-position model. The record is from RNAcentral.